GCCGCGGUAAUACGGAGGGUGCGAGCGUUGUCCGGAAUCACUGGGCGUAAAGCGUGCGCAGGCGGAUUGUUAAGCAAGAUGUGAAAUCCCCGGGCUUAACCUGGGAAUGGCAUUUUGAACUGGCAGUCUAGAGUGCGUCAGAGGGGGGUGGAAUUCCACGUGUAGCAGUGAAAUGCGUAGAUAUGUGGAGGAACACCAAUGGCGAAGGCAGCCCCCUGGGAUGACACUGACGCUCAUGUACGAAAGCGUGGGAAGCAAACAG
Molecule: ribosomal RNA, 262 nt
Filed under: uncultured bacterium
Lineage: Bacteria
Description: partial 16S ribosomal RNA
Rfam family: Bacterial small subunit ribosomal RNA
Source: RNAcentral